AAGAGGUUUAAGAAGCUUCAUGUAUUCUGCUGCUAAACUACUUACUUUACAAAAAAUAAAUAAUCAGCUGAAGAUGCAAAAAUAUAAUGCUAAUGAUAGUUUCAGAGUAAACCUGCUGCAAGCUUGAACAGAAAACAAAAGCCCCAGAAAUUUCCUUCCUAUAUUGCCCCACCCAAGCUUCUUUUUUAAAGACCAAACAAAAGAUCUAAAACAGUUCUGUGACUUUUCUGCAGCUUUAAGAUCCCUGCAGCAGCAACCUCAUUCAAAGUGAAGAAGGAUAUGGAAGAAAGAGAGGCAUCUUGAAGCUCAGGUUAAGUGAAGAAAAAACUGCCUGUAGGGCAUGCAGGAAGGAACUGCAGAUGGGCCCCUGGGGCAGCACCCAGGGAAGUGGUGGUGAAUAUUUAAGUAAGAAGGAGAAGAAAUGGAAUUUGUUCCAAACUGUUUAAAGGUCUGUAUCUACAGAACUAGAGAGGGGAGUGAAGGGCUCUUGGGAGGAUUUCCUCUAGAAAAAAUAGGUUUGAGCUUUGUCUAAAGAGGAAAAUUAGAAGGUUCUCUAGCAAAUGCAAGGGAAGGAAUUUAAAAACCCUUGGAAGGAUCUGCAGCUAUCAAAUUGGAUGAAGUUUUCUCAUACAUGGAGGCUGUCUGCCUCAGCUGGAUUGCCACAGGAGGCUGGGGAAAAGGUACUUUUCAGUAAGUCUGGAGAUGACUGGGUGGUGGCAUUGCAAGUUUGGAGAAUGAGGAGUUCCCUUCUAAAAGCUAAAGAGACUUUUGUGAAACAAUUGGGAGGAUGAGAAGGGAUUCCUCGCAAAGUCGGGAGUCUGGAGACUCCAGAGGCCUGAACUAAUUUCUGAGGAGUUGGGUUUCUCGGGUGUGGCCCCAGGAGGAGACAGCAAGGCACUUUGUGUAACAAUGCCGCAUUUCGCUUAUAGGACGUGGGGAAUCCGCCCUAUGACUGAGAAUAAAGGCCCCCGUCGUCACUAACGGGAAGCCUGGAACCCUGUCUAAAAGGGUGUGCCUGCAGCAAUUUGGGAGGAAAUGCCACACGCACCCCAGGCCCGGGACAAGGGACAGUAAUACUUUCUCACUAAGCGAAUAGGAGAAGCAGAGAAGCGUUUGAAAAGAACACCACCGCUCCCAACUCACUGAAAGUUGGAGGAAAGUGAGGAACUCUGGAGAGUUCGGAAAUGAUUUGAAAGCAACCCAACUGGAAGCUGGGAUAAAACAAGAAAAACUGAGGGUACAGUUUACAAAGCCAGCGUGAAGAAACUGAGGAUUCGAGAUCUGCCCAACCCAAAGCAGAACUGAGAUUGAAACCUGGGGACUCUCAAGUAAAACCCCAGUUGCCUUUCUGAGAAGAGGGACUUGAAUCAUCAUGAUCUUCUUCUUGGUCUCCCAUUUUCUGAUUCUUUGUUACUUCAAUUCACUUUUUUUUUUCCUCAGAGUUUUCUAACUCACCAGUAUAUCAUAUCUCAGUGCAUACUGCUUAAAUUGAGGAGAUAACAAUACAUCCACUUGGGAAGGGUUUUGCCACAGUGUAUCAAAGAUUUAAAAAAAAAAAAAAACUAGAGAAUGUCUAAUCCAAUCAUGUUAAAAAUAAUUUUCAUUGCAAAUUAAGUUAUACAUACAGACUUGUAUUAAAAAUGUUAAUGAAAGCAGCAAUACCUGUGCGACUAGCACCCAUUAAGAAAUAUAACAUUAACUGUGCUUAACAAUGCUCUGAAAGGAAGCUCUUCCUCUAAUUUGGUUAAAAUAAUUCAACCCUUUAAAAAUGCCCUAACAGUGUAUUGUCUUCCUUGCCCUGGAAAUAACCACUACAUUGACUUUUGUUACAAUAUUUCCCGUGCUUUCAAGUAUGAACUUCCAAAUAAGAUACAUUCAAUGUGUUCUGUUAUUGACCUUAUUUAAAUGGAAUUAAUACUGUGUCUCUUCUAUUCAUCCAAUGUUGAUGCUGUGUGGCUGAAGUUUGUUCCAUUUUGGGGUAAUACUCUGAUUUAGAAAUAUGUAAUAAUUUAUCUUUUCUGCUUUUGAUGGUCAUUUGUACUGUUUCCACUUUUAGCAAUUAACAAUGUCAUUAUGAACAUUCCAGUACAUGUCUGUUGCACUGUGUGCUGGAGUAGGAGUAGAUUGACUGGAUAUUAGGUUCUGCACAUGUGGGACUUUAUAGGUAAUGCUACAUCAUUUUCCAUGCUAGUAUCAAUUUAUGUUUCUGCCAGAAAUAUAUGAGUUCUUACUUUUCUAUUCCCCUGCCAAUGUUUAUGUUGUUUGGGUUUUUAAUUUUUGUAUGUUUGAAUAUGUGUAAUAUAGGUUUCUCAUUGUGAUUUUAUUUGGUAUCUCUGAUUACUAUUGAGGUUGAGCACCUUUGCUUGGUUUCAUUAGCAUUUUCAUUUUCUCUUUAUGAACUGCUUAGUAGUUUUCUAAACCAUUUUUUCAAUAAAUUCUAUUUUUUUAAUUUUUUAUUAUUUAUUUUUUAGUUUUCGGCGGACACAACAUCUUUUGUUUGUAUGUGGUGCUGAGGAUCGAACCCGGGCCGCACGCAUGCCAGGCGAGCUUGCUACCGCUUGAGCCACAUCCCCAUCCCUAAUAAAUUCUAUUUUUUUGACAGCAGUUCUUUAUGUUUAGAUAAUAAUUCUUCAUCUUAUAUGUUGCAAAUAUCCUUCCUUUUUUGUGCUUGAUCUUUUCAUUUUACCUAUAAUAUGUGAAGAACAGAAGAGAAAUUGUUAAGUCAUUGAAUAUGAGUGUUCUCAGUUUGACCAAAUAAUGCUAAAUUUCUGUCCAUAGUACUAUAGCAGUGUACCCUACUCCCAUCAAUGUUUUGAGGGCUAGUAUGGCCCCAUGUUCUUCCCAACCUCAGCAUGAUUAAACUUUUUUGUUUCCCCAGAUAUGAA
This is a long non-coding RNA of Marmota monax (woodchuck), 2885 nucleotides long. RefSeq lists it as uncharacterized. The record is from RefSeq and is a predicted model, not a curated record. The transcript is spliced from 2 exons. Lineage: Eukaryota; Metazoa; Chordata; Mammalia; Rodentia; Sciuridae.